This 507-nucleotide ribosomal RNA is filed under the name uncultured bacterium. Its description in RNAcentral is "bacterial SSU rRNA". It matches the Rfam family "Bacterial small subunit ribosomal RNA", at positions 1 to 526 of the family's 1533-position model. The record is from RNAcentral.
ACUAGCAGUAAGAGUUUGAUCAUGGCUCAGAACGAACGCUGGCGGCACGCCUAACACAUGCAAGUCGAACGAGACCUUCGGGUCUAGUGGCGGCACGGGUGCGUAACGCGUGGGAAUCUGCCCUUGGUUCGGGAUAACAGUUGGAAACGACUGCUAAUACCGGAUGAUGACUUCGGUCCAAAGAUUUAUCGCCCAGGGAUGAGCCCGCGUCGGAUUAGCUAGUUGGUGAGGUAAAGGCUCACCAAGGCGACGAUCCGUAGCUGGUCUGAGAGGAUGAUCAGCCACACUGGGACUGAGACACGGCCCAGACUCCUACGGGAGGCAGCAGUGGGGAAUUUUGGACAAUGGGCGAAAGCCUGAUCCAGCGAUGCCGCGUGGGUGAAGAAGGCCUUCGGGUUGUAAAGCCCUUUCGGCAGGGAAGAAAAGUCCGAAGCUAAUACCUUCGGGUCUUGACGUUACCUGCGGAAGAAGCACCGGCUAACUCCGUGCCAGCAGCCGCGGUAAUAC